CAAAUAAGAUAUAUAUCUGGUAACUAUGGAAGUACUUGAUGAUAUAUUCUCAACCAUGCUCGAAUUUCUUGAACAACAACUUUCUAUUCAGAAACAACAGCGUGAUGAUCAUCAAGAUUUUUUAGAAUUAGCCAUAACAAUCUUAACGGGAUUCUAAGGAAUGGGAUAUCAUUUCGUAAGCCAGGAACUAUAAAGUCAUGCUAGGUGGAUGUCAAAGACUCUUUACGUAUUCAAGAUUUAACUACUUUAGGGUCAAUUUCAGUUAUCUAAAAGGGAGAGGAAUUCUUUAAGAACAUCAUGUAUUUUUCUUGGACUCGAGUCUACAUUCGAACCUGCUUUCUCUCCCCAAAAGCCGUAAAAGCUCUCUAUCCAGAUUUUCUAUUCAUGGGUCACAUGAUCAAUUAUCAGGAUAUUGAUACAGAAAUCAGAAAGUUACUCUCAAAAAAAUUUUAAGCCAUGGCUUAAAUUUGGUUCACGAAACUAUGACUCUUUCCUUAUUAGAUGAUAUUAUUCCAACUAGGGUUAAGAGAAUUAUGACGCAAAUUAUGCUAGAAGCUGAUAAAUAUUUUGAAAUACCUGUUACAAAAUAUUUCUUUACCCGACAAUCAGCUCUGAUUUCUUUAACAAAGGCUUCAACUUGGAAGGAUGAUUUUAGAUAUUAUAUUAUUAAUGGAAAAACUUGACAAAACAAUUUUUGUGAAUGAUGCUGCAGAAAGAGGUGUAAAAUUGAUUCAGAAACACAAUAAUAUUUUCACAGAAGAUGAAAGAGAGGAAAAAAAAUUGCUUCACACAUCAUUGCUGAAGACCAUAAAAAUUGCACUUCUGAUACUAAAUCCUGACUUAAGAAAGAAUAAUGUUCAACAUUGGUUUAUUCUACUAUGUUUUGAUUCUAUAAAAAUUAUUAGUCCUAAUAAAAUGUAUUUAUUCUCUAGAAAUUGUUGUGAUGUUAAAGAAAAAUGCAGUUUAAUUUUUUUUUUUUUUACUAUAUUUCUAGGACUGACUGAACUACAAGGCAUUUGAGGUACCCCUAGAAAUUGUCCAAUUGAAGGGAAAUUUUGCACAGGCUGUUCUUUUGUCCAUUGGAACAAAAUAAGAGAUUUAUAGUUCUGCAAGAGAUUUUGAAUCUUUUGGCCAAGCUUAAAAAGACAGUAAAAAGCUGAAAAGAGAAGCGAAGUUGCUACAGGAAAAGUUGGAGAUGAAUGUGAUGUCCAUGAAAGCUCUCAAGUUGCAGCUGCAAUUGGCGAUAUUAAUGCUGCAGAACAUGAAUUUGUUUUGUGUCUGUCAAGCAUUAAUGGUUUGAUGCAGUUAAAAGUGAUGCAUUCCUAGUGUAAAAAUUAAGUACUUACAAGCAGAGACUAAUGCCAUUAGCCAUUAAGUCAGUAAAGUGCUAGAUGGUGUUGCUGAUUGGAACUUGCAUCUUUCUAGAAAAAUCGAAAAAGGAUACUAGACUUGCAAAUCCGAACAAGAAGAAAAUGUAUAAAUGUAAA
Molecule: long non-coding RNA, 1487 nt
Organism: Uloborus diversus
Lineage: Eukaryota; Metazoa; Arthropoda; Arachnida; Araneae; Uloboridae
Exons: 3
Source: RefSeq, a predicted model, not a curated record